CCUACGGGAGGCAGCAGUAGGGAAUCUUUCACAAUGGGCGAAAGCCUGAUGGAGCAACGCCGCGUGCAGGAUGAAGGCCUUCGGGUUGUAAACUGCUUUUAUAAGCGAGAAAUAUGAUGGUAACUUAUGAAUAAGGAUCGGCUAACUACGUGCCAGCAGCCGCGGUCAUACGUAGGAUCCGAGCAUUAUCCGGAGUGACUGGGUGUAAAGAGUUGCGUAGGUGGCAUAAUAAGUAGCUAGUGAAAUCUGGUGGCUCAACCAUUCAGCCUAUUAGCUAAACUGUUAAGCUCGAGACCGUUAGGGGUAACUGGAAUUUCUAGUGUAGGAGUGAAAUCCGUAGAUAUUAGAAGGAACACCAAUAGCGUAGGCAGGUUGCUGGGACGGUUCUGACACUAAGGCACGAAAGCGUAGGGAGCAAACGGGAUUAGAUACCCCUGUAGUC
RNAcentral lists this ribosomal RNA (442 nucleotides) under uncultured bacterium. Its description in RNAcentral is "partial 16S ribosomal RNA". It matches the Rfam family "Bacterial small subunit ribosomal RNA", at positions 338 to 795 of the family's 1533-position model. The record is from RNAcentral.